This 372-nucleotide ribosomal RNA is filed under the name uncultured organism. RNAcentral's name for it is "bacterial SSU rRNA". It matches the Rfam family "Bacterial small subunit ribosomal RNA", at positions 526 to 896 of the family's 1533-position model. The record is from RNAcentral.
CGUAGGGGGCAAGCGUUGUCCGGAUUUACUGGGCGUAAAGAGCGUGUAGGCGGCCGCACAGGUCCGUUGUGAAAACUGGAGGCUUAACCUCCAGACGUCGACGGAAACCGUGCGGCUAGAGUCCGGAAGAGGAGAGUGGAAUUCCUGGUGUAGCGGUGAAAUGCGCAGAUAUCAGGAAGAACACCAAUGGCGAAGGCAGCUCUCUGGGACGGUACUGACGCUGAGACGCGAAAGCGUGGGGAGCGAACAGGAUUAGAUACCCUGGUAGUCCACGCCGUAAACGAUGGGUGCUAGGUGUGGGAGGUGUCGCCUCCUUCCGUGCCGUAGCUAACGCAUUAAGCACCCCGCCUGGGGAGUACGGCCGCAAGGCUA